AGCGAACGCUGGCGGCAGGCCUAACACAUGCAAGUCGAACGAAACUAUCGGGAGUAGUUGCGGACGGGGGUGUCACACGGCGGAAGGGUCAGUUAGGUAUGGGAUACCUCAGGGACGCUGGUGAUAACGCCGAAUGUGCCCUUCUAGGGAAGGAUUUAUCGUACUUGGGGGGGCCAGGGUUUUUUUAGCCUAUUGGGUGUGGUAACGGAUUACCAAGGCGACGAUGCGUAGCUGGGCUGAGCGGGUGAACGGCCACAUUGGAACUGAGACAGAGUCCAGACUCCUACGGGAGGACGCAGUCGGGAAUAUUGCGCAAUGGGCGAAAGCGUGAUCGAGCGAAACCGCGUGAGUGAUGAAGGACUUAGGCUCGUAAAACCAUGUUGUUCUGAAAGAAGAAAAGUUCUUUCACCGGCGACUGUACUGACGGUACCCAAAGAAUAAGCCCCGGCUAACUUCGUG
RNAcentral lists this ribosomal RNA (459 nucleotides) under uncultured bacterium. Its description in RNAcentral is "partial 16S ribosomal RNA". It matches the Rfam family "Bacterial small subunit ribosomal RNA", at positions 29 to 507 of the family's 1533-position model. The record is from RNAcentral.